GUGGGGAAUAUUGGACAAUGGGCGAAAGCCUGAUCCAGCCAUGCCGCGUGUGUGAAGAAGGUCUUCGGAUUGUAAAGCACUUUAAGUUGGGAGGAAGGGCAGUAAGUUAAUACCUUGCUGUUUUGACGUUACCAACAGAAUAAGCACCGGCUAACUUCGUGCCAGCAGCCGCGGUAAUACGAAGGGUGCAAGCGUUAAUCGGAAUUACUGGGCGUAAAGCGCGCGUAGGUGGUUCAGCAAGUUGAAGGUGAAAUCCCCGGGCUCAACCUGGGAACUGCCUCCAAAACUACGGAGCUAGAGUACGGUAGAGGGUAGUGGAAUUUCCUGUGUAGCGGUGAAAUGCGUAGAUAUAGGAAGGAACACCAGUGGCGAAGCCGACUACCUGGACUGAUACUGACACUGAGGUGCGAAAGCGUGGGGAGCAAACAGGAUUAGAAACCCGUGUAGUCC
This 450-nucleotide ribosomal RNA is filed under the name uncultured bacterium. Its description in RNAcentral is "partial 16S ribosomal RNA". It matches the Rfam family "Bacterial small subunit ribosomal RNA", at positions 354 to 796 of the family's 1533-position model. The record is from RNAcentral.